AUCCCAUGAUAAGGACAGGCGGCCACGUACUCCUGUAGUCGUUCCCAUGCUUCAGGAAUGGACUCAUCCCUUGUCUGCUGGAAUCUGGAAAUUCGUCCACGAAGGGC
Non-coding RNA from Oryza glumipatula, 107 nucleotides. The record is from Rfam. NCBI's taxonomy places the organism in Eukaryota, Viridiplantae, Streptophyta, Magnoliopsida, Poales, Poaceae.